UACAGAGGGGGCAAGCGUUGUUCGGAAUUACUGGGCGUAAAGGGCGCGUAGGCGGCCUUCUAAGUCGAACGUGAAAUCCCAGGGCUCAACCCGGGAACUGCGUCCGAUACUGGAAGGCUUGAAUCCGGGAGAGGGAUGCGGAAUUCCAGGUGUAGCGGUGAAAUGCGUAGAUAUCUGGAGGAACACCGGUGGCGAAGGCGGCAUCCUGGACCGGUAUUGACGCUGAGGCGCGAAAGCCAGGGGAGCAAACGGG
RNAcentral lists this ribosomal RNA (253 nucleotides) under uncultured bacterium. RNAcentral's name for it is "partial 16S ribosomal RNA". It matches the Rfam family "Bacterial small subunit ribosomal RNA", at positions 524 to 776 of the family's 1533-position model. The record is from RNAcentral.